AAAGCCUCGAAGGAGGUUGUGUGGGUUGGUUGGAACUGAUUUUCCUUCUGGUGGAGUUUAAGAGAGCCCCAUUCCCAACCAGAAGCCUUGCAAAUAGCGUGAGCGUCAGGGCACGGUGGGUGUGAGAGGGACCGAGCGCCACCAUUGGGGCGACUCGGGGCCUCACAUCUGCGCAGGCUAAGUGAGAGCCCAGGUCGUAGUCCUGGCUUCAUAGGAGUCCUUUAGUUUGCAAAGCACUUUCCUGUGCUCUCUUAGGGCCCAUGCAGACGACCAGCGGAGACUUCGGCUGGGGAGUCCACGUGUAGGUGUCAGCGCGAGGGCCAGAGGAGCCUGGUAGACAAUGGGCACCUUCGGAAGGCUAGCCCAGUGGCGGUAUAGACGAGAAGACCAGCGCUCGGCAGCGUGCACUCCGUGGCGUCCCGGUAGCUCGCCGUGAUCGUAUAGUGGUUAGAAGAGUGCAGAUUAGACAAUACACUGUGACGAGUGAAAAAUGCGACCGUGCUGGCGGCGCUGGUUCUCAUAGCCUCCAUGAGGGGUGCUAACGAGCAGUUUGCGGCCUCCAUCUCCACAACCUCGGAGUGAGAAGGUGGUUUCAUGCUGGGCAAUGAGCUGCUCCCCAGAAUCUGGGGAGAAAGUCUGGAGCAGUGACUCUCUUGGAGUAUUCGAGUAAAAGCAAUCAACCAAGAAAAUAAAAACCACAAACAUACACCAUCUGAGGUAACCCACUCAGCCAUUUACAUCCAACCAAGGCAGCUGAAGCGUAUUCUGAGGGCAGGAAUGCCCUAAAGAAAGUCAACAGAAGGUUCCUGGUUGCAGGAAGAGUAACUGAAGGGGAAGGUGCUCUCCUGCACCUCCAACUGCUGACCUUUUCGGCAGGUAUACCAUUAUCCUGGAGAUGGGUGCAUCCAGCUCGUGAAAUUUCAUAAUAUCCUCUUCCAAGGUCACUCACUCAAUUCCCCUUACUCUGAUUUCAGGCCCACAAAACAGACUUUUGCUAAUGAUUUGACUGCCCGUGUAGACGUUCCUGCAGGGAAGAGCAUUGCUCUGAACAAGCUUCUGAGUAGUUGGCAUUUGUUCUUCUUACUCUUGGUAUUUCGGUUUAGACUCUUAAGAGUCUGGUUGGUAUGAUUCAUUGCCCUUGAAUCUGCUUAUCUCUGGGCGCACUGGCAAAACGGAGUUUCUGGGCUGGCAAAGCUGUGAGCUAGAGACUCUGCCCUGGGAUGACCUCACCAGGAUUGCUGCUCUGUGACACCCUCUCUGAGCAGUCAGCACCCUCCUCCUUUGACCUCUUGUUUUAAACCCACGUUUUGUAGUUUUUGAUUCUGGGGAUAUGAUCCUUUUCCCCCACCCCUUCCAGCGUGAGGUCCGAGCUCUUCUCUAGGUCUCAGCACCAGCAAAGAGGCAGGCAGAACUUCAACGGGCAAACCUUGAAGGGAACAACUGUAAUUUAUAAGCUUCGGAGUGUUUGCUUCAACUAACAACCCCAUGGCUACCUGGUCACACCGGAGCAUCUGGGAGCUGUUGCUGCUGCAGCUGCCGGUCACCACAAGGGUGCAGUACAGACUGGACCAGCAUCCCGGUAUCACCUGGAAGCUGGUUCAAAUUCAGAAUCUUGGUCCACAACACAGAACUACUGGAUGAGAAUCUUCACUUGAACAAGAUCCUCCCCAGAUGAUUCAUCUGCACCUUCAAGUUUGAGAAGUGCUGCUGUCAUCUAGAGGAACUACCUGGCUCUAAGGGAGGUCUUCACUGUUCACCUUGUGAGUACUUGGGGUUCCUAAAAGGGACCUGCCCAUGUCUACUGGGCCUCAUCGAUGGGGGUGACUUUGAGGUUGUGAGGAAGGAAAGAGGGAGAUCUGGGAGGGAGUCACUGAGGGGCCCAUGUUUGGGGGCAUCUAAGGAGGAGGCAGCUUCCUGGACUUCCACUAGGAGGCGCUGCACCCCAGGAAGUGGAAGUAGAACGCUGAGGCUGGAUAAGACUCAGUCUAGAGGACUCCACUUUGGACUUCACCCCUCCAACAUGGAUUCUCUGGAUGUUCCUGACUCAAGUUCCAUUCAUUCAUUCAUUCACUCAUUCACUCACCAUUCAAAAUAGCAUCUUUUAGCUCUUAAAGUACAGUACAUCAUAGGGAGCUGCAAAGCUGUAUACAGAUACUUCUUGCCCAUGUGGUUUACUUUCCAGCUGGAAGAAAAUACUAGCCCACAGGCAACAAUAAGAAAACAACAGAAGACAUGCUGUAGAUGGAAGAGGCAUUUCUCACUGCGGUGGAAGGAAACUCUCCAAGGAAGAGCUGACAUAAGCUUCCAGCAGAAUUGUAAAAUAACUGAAAUUUGUUUUCAGCACUUCCAGCCCCCUCAUUCUGACACCCCUCCACCUCUUUGUGUUGUCGUUAUCUCAUUGAUUCUCAUUCAUUUCAAUUAAAAAUAUUUAUUGAUGGCC
Non-coding RNA from Equus caballus (horse), 2440 nucleotides. The record is from RefSeq and is a predicted model, not a curated record. Lineage: Eukaryota; Metazoa; Chordata; Mammalia; Perissodactyla; Equidae.